CAAUCGGCCCUUUUCAGGGCCAACAUAAUGGGUUUAUUGGAUGAUAU
This is a non-coding RNA of Aedes aegypti (yellow fever mosquito), 47 nucleotides long. The record is from Rfam. Lineage: Eukaryota; Metazoa; Arthropoda; Insecta; Diptera; Culicidae.